GAUGAAGAACGUAGCGAAAUGCGAUAAGUAAUGUGAAUUGCAGAAUUCAGUGAAUCAUCGAAUCUUUGAACGCACAUUGCGCCCGCCAGUAUUCUGGCGGGCAUGCCUGUUCGAGCGUCAUUUCAACCAUCAAGCCCCAGGCUUGUGUUGGGGUCCUGCGGCUGCCGCAGGCCCUGAAAAACAGUGGCGGGCUCGCUGUCACACCGAGCGUAGUAAUACAUCUCGCUUUGGACGUGCGGCGGGUUCUUGCCGUUAAACACCCCCCUUCUCAAGGUUGACCUCGGAUCAGGUAGGAAUACCCGCUGAACUUAAGCAUAUCAAUAAGCGGAGAA
This 332-nucleotide unclassified non-coding RNA is filed under the name soil metagenome. RNAcentral describes it as "partial contains 5.8S ribosomal RNA, internal transcribed spacer 2, and large subunit ribosomal RNA". The stretch from base 1 to 120 matches the Rfam family "5.8S ribosomal RNA", at positions 35 to 154 of the family's 154-position model. The record is from RNAcentral.